Molecule: ribosomal RNA, 331 nt
Filed under: uncultured Nevskia sp.
Lineage: Bacteria; Pseudomonadati; Pseudomonadota; Gammaproteobacteria; Nevskiales; Nevskiaceae
Description: bacterial SSU rRNA
Rfam family: Bacterial small subunit ribosomal RNA
Source: RNAcentral
UGCGUAGGCGGUUCAUUAAGUCGGUUGUGAAAUCCCUGGGCUUAACCUGGGAACUGCAGUCGAUACUGGUGGACUAGAGUGCGGUAGAGGGUGGCGGAACUCCGGGUGUAGCGGUGAAAUGCGUAGAUAUCCGGAAGAACACCGAUGGCGAAGGCAACCACCUGGGCCUGCACUGACGCUGAGGUACGAAAGCGUGGGGAGCAAACAGGAUUAGAUACCCUGGUAGUCCACGCUGUAAACGAUGAGAACUUGACGUCGGUUCGCCUAGCGAAUCGGUGUCGUAGCUAACGCGCUAAGUUCUCCGCCUGGGGAGUACGGCCGCAAGGUUGAA